GGACAUAUGUCAUUAAUCGUGAGAACUAAGCCAAAGGAGAUGGAAUGAAUCAGUCUUACCAUAUCUCUACUUUGCAUUGCUUGCAUAUGUGAUAUUGUAUCUGUUUAACAAAACUACAUAUAUUGUAGGUUCAAAAAUGAAUUUCGCGAAGCUUCAAAGAGUUCUGCCUUAACUCAAAUUGAAGUUGCUUGAUAUCAUGAAAUAAGCAGCAUGCGUUUUGUCAAACAUAUUUGAAAUUUGCAAUUUGUAACUAGAUUUUUGUGCUGUUGUUUUCUCAUGCUUUGGCUUUUUUAAGUUCAUUAAGACUUUCUUUUUGCGGGUAAAAUUCAAAGGCUUAGGACCAUAAUGGAUAGAAGGUGCAAUCUUUUCCAUUUUGUAUAUGCUGCAGUUCAGACUAUUCAGAGCUAGAGCUAUCGUCAACAUUUUCCUACCACUCUCUGUAUGGCAUUAGCUCUUAUGUUUUCAGAACAUUGGGCUUGGGCUUAACUAACUCUGUUGACAAAUCACUAUCUUAUCUUAAAAUACAUCGGUGAUUACUAGAGUUCGAGAAAAAAGUUCUUUUAUUGCUUCCAGAGGAUCAAGAUAUGACAAAGUCUUUCAUGGGAUUCAAGAGAAACAUGCAACGCAUGUGGUGCCUUCUAUAAGUUGCCAAGUAGCUUCUUGGCAGCGGUUUGGAUUUAUUUGCUGCACCUAUAUGCUCGUUGAAGAGCAGCGAGAGGCUCUGGUUCAGGCAAGGCUUCAGGUUCUUCUUCCACCAUGGCAAGGACAGGAAGGAUCAGGACGAGAGCCCCAAGACGCGGUGGCUCAUGGAGGAGUACACCAGAGUAGCCUGCCUGGAGGAUGGCUUCGCCCGCGCGGACGGCAAGAAAGUUCUGCCGGCACUCUACAGGAUGUACCUCACCAGGCGCGAUCCUGGCAAGGAGAAGAACAGGAACAAGAAGCGAGACCGGGAUGUUGAUGGGGAGGAGAAGGACGGAGAAAUGGCCCUGGCCGGUUGGUAGUUUCCACGGAUUACUUUGACGAUGUCGCUGGAUUGCUGCUGUCGCCGCCGAGCGUUCUCAGUGUCGACCAAGAGCAGACAAAGGAUGCCCAAGAAGCGCCGCCACAGAGCGAGGAGAUGUUCUCGUGGACUCCUCUUGGAUCGACGAACACUGCUACAUUAAACCUGCUUCAGGACAUUCUUCGGUUAAUUCAAGUUUCAUUGCGACGAUUUGGCAUUGCUAAUUAUUUCAUUGCGAUGAUUUGGCAUUGCUAAUUAUUCUUGCGGUGGGCAUUGGAUGGAAGUGUCGGUGUGUUCAAUUGAUUUCUUGAAGCUAAUUAUUACUAGCAGGAGCUAGGAUGGGAUACGAUUUCUUCUUUGAUUGUCCAACAAAAUGUAUCCUUGUUUUGUGGAUGCAAAACUAUCAUGCUUAAUUUGGAGUUUGGUUUUUAUUCCUGCAAUUUACCCAUGUGGAGCAUACUCAUUCUGGUGUAUAGGAAGUUCACUAAUUGUAUAGAUGGCAGUGUACAGCAAAUUCAUUAAUUGUAAAAGUAGACAGCAAAUUACAGGCAUCUCACCUGGUAACAAGCCAAAAGAAAAGGAGAACAGGUACACAUAUAGGCAUCCAAAGCAUCAAACUACCGAGCGAACAGUAAACCAAGCCGCUCAGGAUCACCAGCAGCAACAAAAAGGCUAGCGUAUGAUUCAACCAGGUACCGGCGGAUUUCUCAAGCAAGUAAAAAUUAUCUAAUAUCAAAAGAUCCUUUCAUGUUUCAUCUGAUACAAAAGAAAAGAAAAUCACAUCUAGCUGAUUCAGGACAGCACACAAACAACAGAAGCUUUUCACCAGUUCGUAAGUUCUAAUCCCUUAAAACUAGAGGUAGCAGCAGAUGACAACAUGAUUCUUUGCUUAUACACUCGA
This is a long non-coding RNA of Lolium perenne, 1901 nucleotides long. RefSeq lists it as uncharacterized. The record is from RefSeq and is a predicted model, not a curated record. Lineage: Eukaryota; Viridiplantae; Streptophyta; Magnoliopsida; Poales; Poaceae.